This 463-nucleotide ribosomal RNA is filed under the name uncultured bacterium. RNAcentral describes it as "partial 16S ribosomal RNA". It matches the Rfam family "Bacterial small subunit ribosomal RNA", at positions 28 to 507 of the family's 1533-position model. The record is from RNAcentral.
GACGAACGCUGGCGGCGUGCUUAACACAUGCAAGUCGAACGGAAAGGCCUUUUCGGAGGUACUCGAGUGGCGAACGGGUGAGUAACACGUGGGUGAUCUGCCCUGCACUCUGGGAUAAGCCUGGGAAACUGGGUCUAAUACCGGAUAGGACCGCACUUUAGUGUGUGUGGUGGAAAGUUUUUUCGGUGUAGGAUGAGCCCGCGGCCUAUCAGCUUGUUGGUGGGGUAAUGGCCCACCAAGGCGGCGACGGGUAGCCGGACUGAGAGGUUGGUCGGCCACAUUGGGACUGAGAUACGGCCCAGACUCCUACGGGAGGCAGCAGUGGGGAAUAUUGCACAAUGGGCGCAAGCCUGAUGCAGCGACGCCGCGUGGGGGAUGACGGCCUUCGGGUUGUAAACUCCUUUCGCCAGGGACGAAGCGUUUUGUGACGGUACCUGGAGAAGAAGCACCGGCUAACUACGUG